AAGAAUUUGUGACAGGUAGUGACGGAAAAGAGGAAGAGGGAAGGUAUGAGAAGGAAAGAGCGAUGUUCAGGGUGUAGAAAUAUAGUCAAUGUAUAUAGACUGGUCGAGCGAGGGGUGGACAAUAGUGGCAACAUUGCAGUGGCCUUGAGGGAUCCAUUUUCGCUUGGCCGACUUUAGCAGAACCACUGCUUACAACCCAGCAGGUAAUGGACAGGUUGAAAGAUAUAAUGGUAUUCUAUGGAAAACGAUUGAGCUAGCAUUAAAAUCACUUAAUUUAGAAAUAAAUCAAUGGGAGUCAGUUUUAGAAGAUGCUCUUAGCUCAACAAGAACAUUACUUUGCACAGCCACAAAUCAAACUCCUCAUGAGCGUAUGUUCUUACACCCACGUAGAUCUGGAAACAAUGGUGUUUCAGCUCCUUCUUGGCUUCUCAAUUCCGGCCCUGUCUAUUUAAAAAAAUUCAAUCGAACAUCUAAAUAUGAGCCACUUGUUGAAGAGGUCCAACUUACCACAUAGCACACAAAGUAUCCCAUACAUAUCAAAUAUGUAUCAAUGAAACCUUUAAAGUAUGUAUUACAAAAUAUGUACCUCAAACAUAUCUGAUACAUAUUAUUUGAGACAGAAUUGAUACAUAUCUCCUAUGUGUAUCAGAUAUGUAUCAGAUACAUACCCGCUAAACAUUCCCACAAUGCAUCAGCAAUUGUGCAUACCCCUCUACGGCCUCACUAUGAAAACUGGUUCUGUAAAUCUGUUGUUUAUGUUGUGAUUGCGAUCAAGUUUGUAAUGCAAGUUGGAAGUUGAAGCCACAGAUUUUGCCAUUUUUUAAGGUGUUAUAAUAUAUUUGUGUAUCAUAUUGAUUACUCAUCUAAAGGGUCUGGGAAGCAGUAGUGCACUUGAAUCAACUUUGAGGGUGCUAAGAAAAGUAUUUACAUAUGAAUUGGCAAAUAAGUACAGCCUCCUUGGGAGGAAGAAGAGAAAUUUCGAAAAUUUGGCAAUUUGCAAAAUUUAUUGUUUUUGGACUGGAGGCAAUGAACCUUCCAUUGGGGUAGAAGAUAAGGAGGGCGAAAUCUAGCGAAUUUUUUAGUACCGCAAACCGCAGAUUUGGCGCCACCAAUCCACCCACUCACAUAUAUAAUAAUCUUUAAUCUCUUUUCUACGUGUGUUACCAGUUGUAUAUAUAUAGUGUAUUUAAUAUUCGUAUGUAUCGCAUAAAAUAUGCAGUAUUUUAUUAUGGACCUUUCAGCUGAAUUAUGUUCUGUAUAGCAUAUUUUGUCUUCUUGUUAUUUUAAUAAAGAUUUUAGUGAAGAUUAUUCUAGUAAAGAAUAUAUUCAUGAAAAUUUUUCUCCACAUUACAUUUUAUUACUUGUUACUCCACAUUACUACUUACAGAGUUACUUUAAUAAGAGUUACCAUACAUUAUUACUUGAGGCCUAUUCACAUUUUACUUAAAUGUAUUAUUAAUUAGCCUAAUCUCAUUUCAUUAAAUUAGAUCGCAUUUUUAUUUAUUUUUGAUAUGUUUAAUUAUGUUCUUUGUAUGGUAAAUAAAAUUUGAAUUUGAAAUUUGAA
RNAcentral lists this unclassified non-coding RNA (1564 nucleotides) under Nilaparvata lugens (brown planthopper). Its description in RNAcentral is "uncharacterized LOC120351211, transcript variant X5". The record is from RNAcentral. Lineage: Eukaryota; Metazoa; Arthropoda; Insecta; Hemiptera; Delphacidae.